This 88-nucleotide transfer RNA is filed under the name Amborella trichopoda. It matches the Rfam family "tRNA". From Rfam's summary of the family: Transfer RNA (tRNA) molecules are approximately 80 nucleotides in length. The record is from Rfam by way of RNAcentral. Lineage: Eukaryota; Viridiplantae; Streptophyta; Magnoliopsida; Amborellales; Amborellaceae.
GGAGAGAUGGUUAAAUAGAUUAAGGCGUUGGAUUACUAAUCCGUUGUAUGAGCUAUUUGUAUCGAGGGUUCGAAUCCCUCUGUCUCCA